GCUUGCUGCUUUGCUGACGAGUGGCGGACGGGUGAGUAAUGUCUGGGAAACUGCCUGAUGGAGGGGGAUAACUACUGGAAACGGUGGCUAAUACCGCAUAACGUCGCAAGACCAAAGAGGGGGACCUUCGGGCCUCUUGCCAUCAGAUGUGCCCAGAUGGGAUUAGCUUGUUGGUGAGGUAACGGCUCACCAAGGCGACGAUCCCUAGCUGGUCUGAGAGGAUGACCAGCCACACUGGAACUGAGACACGGUCCAGACUCCUACGGGAGGCAGCAGUGGGGAAUAUUGCACAAUGGGCGCAAGCCUGAUGCAGCCAUGCCGCGUGUAUGAAGAAGGCCUUCGGGUUGUAAAGUACUUUCAGCGGGGAGGAAGGUGUUGCGGUUAAUAACCGCAGCAAUUGACGUUACCCGCAGAAGAAGCACCGGCUAACUCCGUGCCAGCAGCCGCGGUAAUACGGAGGGUGCAAGCGUUAAUCGGAAUUACUGGGCGUAAAGCGCACGCAGGCGGUCUGUCAAGUCGGAUGUGAAAUCCCCGGGCUCAACCUGGGAACUGCAUUCGAAACUGGCAGGCUUGAGUCUUGUAGAGGGGGGUAGAAUUCCAGGUGUAGCGGUGAAAUGCGUAGAGAUCUGGAGGAAUACCGGUGGCGAAGGCGGCCCCCUGGACAAAGACUGACGCUCAGGUGCGAAAGCGUGGGGAGCAAACAGGAUUAGAUACCCUGGUAGUCCACGCCGUAAACGAUGUCUACUUGGAGGUUGUGCCCUUGAGGCGUGGCUUCCGGAGCUAACGCGUUAAGUAGACCGCCUGGGGAGUACGGCCGCAAGGUUAAAACUCAAAUGAAUUGACGGGGGCCCGCACAAGCGGUGGAGCAUGUGGUUUAAUUCGAUGCAACGCGAAGAACCUUACCUGGUC
This 909-nucleotide ribosomal RNA is filed under the name Salmonella enterica subsp. enterica serovar Typhimurium. RNAcentral's name for it is "bacterial SSU rRNA". It matches the Rfam family "Bacterial small subunit ribosomal RNA", at positions 78 to 980 of the family's 1533-position model. The record is from RNAcentral. Lineage: Bacteria; Pseudomonadati; Pseudomonadota; Gammaproteobacteria; Enterobacterales; Enterobacteriaceae.